Molecule: transfer RNA, 73 nt
Filed under: Rhipicephalus sanguineus (brown dog tick)
Lineage: Eukaryota; Metazoa; Arthropoda; Arachnida; Ixodida; Ixodidae
Description: transfer RNA tyrosine (anticodon GUA)
Rfam family: tRNA
About the family: Transfer RNA (tRNA) molecules are approximately 80 nucleotides in length. Their secondary structure includes four short double-helical elements and three loops (D, anti-codon, and T loops).
Source: RNAcentral
CCGUCGAUAGCUCAGUUGGUAGAGCGGUGGACUGUAGAUCCAUAGGUGGCUGGUUCGAGUCCGGCUCGACGGA